CCGCUACCUUCGAGCUCGAGGAGGCUGGUCACAGGCCUAGAAAUAAACAUGCCCGUACCAGCGAUUUUGUGUUAUAUUGUCUUAUUUCACAAUGCUUCAUCCAUCUUAUCAGUUGAAUGAUAAUACUUCUUUGUUGCUUUCCUCAGUUAAGACAAGAGAUGUAGAACUCAACUGGGUUGAACAAGCUUGAAGAUAAUUUUCUGAAUUUGAUCUUAUACUGAGAUAAUGUUGUUUGGCCGGAAUCGGAGAUGAACAUGGCGAAGGCGAGCAGCAAGGAGAAGCAGCCCCCAGGAGCUCCUGGGCAGCGAGGAAGAGGAUCGAGCGAAUCGCGAUCUAGGGAUCAUGGAGUGAACCUAGACGAAUAUUGUGUGCGGAGGAGCACGUCGGAGCAAAAUUGUAAUAUGAGCAAAACUGUAAUUACUGUUCAGUUUAAAUACAAUUAUAUAGAGAAACUUUGGAUCGUAUAGAAUAAAGAGCGUAUAGAAUAAAUAGUGAAUUUGUUUUUAUUCUAUA
This is a non-coding RNA of Lolium perenne, 513 nucleotides long. Lineage: Eukaryota; Viridiplantae; Streptophyta; Magnoliopsida; Poales; Poaceae. The record is from RefSeq and is a predicted model, not a curated record.